GUUUUAAUGACUACAAUAGAAGAUCUUGUACUCGACAAUUUGACAUAAGAUUGCAACCCAAUAAAUAUUGACUACGAUGUCGAAGACGCCGAUCCAGAAGAUCGAUUCCUAUGUAAUUUAUCGUCUUCUGAUGAUGAAGAACAUGAAGACGAAGAACAAUAUUAGUUUUGUGUAAUAUAUUGAUGUCAAAUUAAGUAAU
Molecule: small RNA, 199 nt
Filed under: Arabidopsis thaliana (thale cress)
Lineage: Eukaryota; Viridiplantae; Streptophyta; Magnoliopsida; Brassicales; Brassicaceae
Description: ATSL203580
Source: RNAcentral